AUACGUAGGGGGCGAGCGUUGUCCGGAAUUAUUGGGCGUAAAGGGUGCGUAGGCGGCCUUUCAAGUUGGAUGUGAAAUCCCCGUGCUUAACAUGGGAAUUGCAUUCAAAACUGGAGGGCUUGAGUGUGGAAGAGGUAAGUGGAAUUCCCAGUGUAGCGGUGAAAUGCGUAGAUAUUGGGAGGAACACCAGUGGCGAAGGCGACUUACUGGGCCACAACUGACGCUGAUGCACGAAAGCGUGGGGAGCAAACAGGAUUAGAUACCCUGGUAGUCCACGCUGUAAACGAUGGAUACUAGGUGUAGGGGGUAACACCCCCCCUGUGCCGCAGCUAACGCAAUAAGUAUCCCGCCUGGGGAGUACGGUCGCAAGAUUGAA
Molecule: ribosomal RNA, 376 nt
Filed under: uncultured bacterium
Lineage: Bacteria
Description: bacterial SSU rRNA
Rfam family: Bacterial small subunit ribosomal RNA
Source: RNAcentral